Molecule: ribosomal RNA, 256 nt
Filed under: uncultured bacterium
Lineage: Bacteria
Description: partial 16S ribosomal RNA
Rfam family: Bacterial small subunit ribosomal RNA
Source: RNAcentral
UAAGACGGAGGGAGCAAGCGUUGUUCGGAUUUACUGGGCGUAAAGGGCGUCUAGGCGGGCUGAUAAGUCAGAUGUGAAAUACCUCGGCUCAACCGGGGAACUGCAUUUGAUACUGUCGGUCUUGAGUACGGAAGAGGAAAGCGGAAUUCCUGGUGUAGCGGUGAAAUGCGUAGAUAUCAGGAAGAACACCGGUGGCGAAGGCGGCUUUCUGGUCCGUUACUGACGCUGAAGCGCGAAAGUGUGGGGAGCAAACAGG